This 253-nucleotide ribosomal RNA is filed under the name uncultured bacterium. Its description in RNAcentral is "partial 16S ribosomal RNA". It matches the Rfam family "Bacterial small subunit ribosomal RNA", at positions 524 to 776 of the family's 1533-position model. The record is from RNAcentral.
UACGUAGGGCGCAAGCGUUGUCCGGAAUUAUUGGGCGUAAAGAGCUCGUAGGCGGUUUGUCGCGUCUGCUGUGAAAACCUAAGGCUCAACCUUGGGCUUGCAGUGGGUACGGGCAGACUAGAGUGCGGUAGGGGUGACUGGAAUUCCUGGUGUAGCGGUGGAAUGCGCAGAUAUCAGGAGGAACACCGAUGGCGAAGGCAGGUCACUGGGCCGCAACUGACGCUGAGGAGCGAAAGCAUGGGGAGCGAGCAGG